GCACUGCUGAGGAGUCCCAUAAUAGGACGAAACGACCGCCCAGUGC
This is a non-coding RNA of Schistosoma mansoni, 46 nucleotides long. Lineage: Eukaryota; Metazoa; Platyhelminthes; Trematoda; Strigeidida; Schistosomatidae. The record is from Rfam.